CAAGCUAGUAGUCCACUGAUGUCAGGACUGGCACUGGGAUGAGUUCUCUCCACCAUUUUUGGGGUGGCUGUCAGCAGUCUGUCAUGCACAGGAUCUUCUUGUUCGCUGCCUCACUCUAUAUGCCAUGCCACAAGCUAGCAUCAGCACUGGUUUGCAGUCUGUCUGUGCUUCCUCCAAUGUCCAUACCCUGUGAACGGGUUCCAUAGAAGUCUUUUAAAAAUUCCCACCAGAGAAGAGACUUCAUCCUCCAUCACCUCACAAUAUGGCUGGUUAUAUCUGGACAGUGUAAGUGUAAAUGUUACCAUUUGUACGUAGUAUCUUGGGCAGCUUGAGCUAGUCUUUGUUGCAGCAAGAAUCUGGUUUGCCAACCUUGGCUUGCUAAUCUGAUAUGCUAGGCUUGCACCACUGAUAUACGUUAGUGUCUCCCAUCGGCCUUUGGAAUUUGCAUGACUUCUAUUACAAAAACAGCCCCGCUCAAUGUUAGUGGUGAGAGCAAGAAAGAAGGAAACAGUAGGGGAGCUCAAAAGGCUGUGGCUGGAUACUUUCUACAGCUGAAGAGACAGUCGUCAUUUGGCUCUCUUAGGUGAACUUGAAGUAGCUCUGACAGCAGGAGGGCCCUGCAGUCCCACCAGAAGAUCUGCAGCUGUGGUGGAAGGAUUGCCCUUAGGAAAUGCCACCACUUGGGAUUUGCUUUUGCACUGGGGUGGUGGGCAUUCACUGGGACUGGGUGUAUGUUCCCUAUUGCUUGAGAAGGAAUUUGAAACAUUUAUGCAGUAAGAAAUAAGCAACAGUAGACUCCAUUUUUCCAUCUCCGUUCAGGCGUCUGGGUAAAUGAGUUACUUUCACAUACAUAUUUCAUGGUAUUUGCGACAGCUACUUGUCAAUUGGCAGAAGAGCUUUUAGAUGAGUAAAGCCAGCAGAACAAGAGAUGCCUGCUUAACCUGUUCAGUGUUUUCUUAAUGAUAACAGAGAAGCCUUGGCAUAUUAAUGUUUCCUCGAAGACUAUCCAAAUAUCCACUGAUUUAAAAGAUCAAAGAAGCAGCAGUGCUUUCAGUUACAC
RNAcentral lists this long non-coding RNA (1060 nucleotides) under Pavo cristatus (Indian peafowl). RNAcentral describes it as "lncRNA (ENSPSTG00000015473.1)". Lineage: Eukaryota; Metazoa; Chordata; Aves; Galliformes; Phasianidae. The record is from RNAcentral.